The sequence is a transfer RNA, 65 nucleotides long. It matches the Rfam family "tRNA". Rfam says of the family: Transfer RNA (tRNA) molecules are approximately 80 nucleotides in length. Their secondary structure includes four short double-helical elements and three loops (D, anti-codon, and T loops). Further hydrogen bonds mediate the characteristic L-shaped molecular structure. tRNAs have two regions of fundamental functional importance: the anti-codon, which is responsible for specific mRNA codon recognition, and the 3' end, to which the tRNAs corresponding amino acid is attached (by aminoacyl-tRNA synthetases). tRNAs cope with the degeneracy of the genetic code in two manners: having more than one tRNA (with a specific anti-codon) for a particular amino acid; and 'wobble' base-pairing, i.e. permitting non-standard base-pairing at the 3rd anti-codon position. The record is from Rfam.
GCCGAACAAGACCACUCGCAAGGCUCUUAACCUUGUGGUCGUGGGUUCGAGCCCCACGGUGGGCG